This 469-nucleotide ribosomal RNA is filed under the name uncultured bacterium. RNAcentral describes it as "bacterial SSU rRNA". It matches the Rfam family "Bacterial small subunit ribosomal RNA", at positions 17 to 507 of the family's 1533-position model. The record is from RNAcentral.
UCCUGGCUCAGAACGAACGCUGGCGGCAUGCCUAACACAUGCAAGUCGAACGAGACCUUCGGGUCUAGUGGCGCACGGGUGCGUAACGCGUGGGAAUCUGCCCCUUGGUUCGGAAUAACACAGAGAAAUUUGUGCUAAUACCGGAUGACGACGAAAGUCCAAAGAUUUAUCGCCGAGGGAUGAGCCCGCGUAAGAUUAGGUAGUUGGUGGGGUAAAGGCCUACCAAGCCGACGAUCUUUAGCUGGUCUGAGAGGACGACCAGCCACACUGGGACUGAGACACGGCCCAGACUCCUACGGGAGGCAGCAGUGGGGAAUUUUGGACAAUGGGCGCAAGCCUGAUUCAGCAAUGCCGCGUGCAGGAAGAAGGCCUUCGGGUUGUAAACUGCUUUUGUACGGAACGAAAAGGUCUGGGUUAAUACCCUGGGCUCAUGACGGUACCGUAAGAAUAAGCACCGGCUAACUACGUG